RNAcentral lists this ribosomal RNA (468 nucleotides) under uncultured bacterium. RNAcentral's name for it is "partial 16S ribosomal RNA". It matches the Rfam family "Bacterial small subunit ribosomal RNA", at positions 28 to 507 of the family's 1533-position model. The record is from RNAcentral.
GACGAACGCUGGCGGCGUGCUUAACACAUGCCAGUCGAACGGAAAGGCCCUGCUUUUGUGGGGUUCUCGAGUGGCGAACGGGUGAGUAACACGUGAGUAACCUGCCCUUGACUUUGGGAUAACUUCAGGAAACUGGGGCUAAUACCGGAUAGGAGCUCCUGCUGCAUGGUGGGGGUUGGAAAGUUUCGGCGGUUGGGGAUGGACUCGCGGCUUAUCAGCUUGUUGGUGGGGUAGUGGCUUACCAAGGCUUUGACGGGUAGCCGGCCUGAGAGGGUGACCGGCGACAUUGGGACUGAGAUAGGGCGCAGACUCCUACGGGAGGCAGCAGUGGGGAAUAUUGCACAAUGGGCGGAAGCCUGAUGCAGAAACGCCGCGUGCGGGAUGACGGCCUUCGGGUUGUAAACCGCUUUCGCCUGUGACGAAGCGUGAGUGACGGUAAUGGGUAAAGAAGCACCGGCUAACUACGUG